Non-coding RNA from Malus domestica (apple), 3055 nucleotides. Lineage: Eukaryota; Viridiplantae; Streptophyta; Magnoliopsida; Rosales; Rosaceae. The record is from RefSeq and is a predicted model, not a curated record.
UUGGUUUCUACUCCUACUUUUUUGAAUGUUAGUUGUGUGGUUUUAACUUGGAUUUGCAUAGUCCAAACACAUGUACGCUUACUCUCCAUCAAACAUUCAACGUUAUCAUCGCAUCUCUUAAGAUUCCAGUAGGCGGAUCAAUCAUACUAUUGAGGACUUACAUACAAGGGGAUUUUGAUGCGGUGGUAUUCCAGCCAGUUAAACAUUGUCAUGUUUUGUUGAGAUAAACUUCAAUGCAAUGUGAAUUCUGUUGUUAUGGUGGUAUCACAAACCAAUCACACACUAUCAUGUAAGAGUUAACUGACUAAUUCAUAUAUCGCCACAGUUGCAUCUCGUUACAGGCACAUAAGUCAUUUGGGUAUGUUGCCAAAUUAUCACCAAACCCCCAUCUCCAGCAAUUCCUUUCCUCCAACCCACAUGGGUUUUUCUCAAGGAAGGGUAGAAUAUAAUUAUUGUUUAUUAUUCUGAGUUAUAUAGGUAGCUAGGAAUAGGUGCGGGCUAUAGCAACACAGACAGAGUUGUGCUGACUGGUGUGAUAGAGAAAUGGUGAUCAGUGCAAGGUGUUGCUUGAGCAACUCCAUGAGAGUUUUGAAUUUAUUUGUCAAUGUUUGUGGAGUUGCAGUCAUCAUCUACUGCCUUUGGCUCACCAAGAAAUGGCAAGUUGGAGUCUCUGAGCUCCCUCCUGUCCCAAUUAUCCCUCAGCCCUGGUUUAUAUAUACAUGUUUAGGUAUGGGAAUUGCUGUCUGCCUCAGCACCCUUUGCGGUCAUAUUGUUGCCCAUUCCGUCAGCAGUUUUAUUCUCUUCAUUUACAUAAUCUUCGUCUUCUGUCUUCUUUGCCUUGAAGUUGGAGUGAUUGUCUCAAUUUUCUUUAGGAUGGACUGGGAAGUGCAAUUCGCCAAGUACAUUGAUGAGGAUCACACCCCGUUCAAAAAGUUCUUGAGGUUUCAUCUAAACAUGUGCCGCAUCAUUGUAAUUCUCAUUUUGAUACCGCAGAUCAAGGCUACCGUGCUGGGAAUCAUUCUUUGGGCCAUUGGUUCUGAGCCGAGGACGGAACAUUUCAACUCUUCUGAUGUCACAAACUUCAGAUACUCAUUUCUAGCAGCACCUACACAAUCGUUACAAGAUAUAUCAAGACAUGGAUUCAGAAACUACGAAGUUUCAUCACCAGAAUUUGAAUCUCCACCACGCCCAAGCCUUUUUUCAAAUGUACAAAGAUUUUUCAGAAUGCGUUUUCAUAGAAGAGUCACCCUUAGUUAGGGCAGAAGUAUAUAAGUUUUGGGUUUAGGGUCCCCUGCAUUUUUGUGUUUAGUUGAGGGGGUUCAGAAGUAUAUAAUCUUGGCAGUGCCAUUAGUUCACUGUCGCUGAAAUGGUAAAAGCUUUUACCGUUGAAAACCAACAACCGCUUGUCCGAAACUCCAAAUCUCAGCUCAGCACCCCCGCCAUCCUGGUCCAAAACUCUACGGACGAUUUCCUGCACUGCCACUCUCUCAGCUGGAGAUCAUGGCGUCUGAACAUGGCGGUUCCGCAUUUGCAAACAUUCCUCAGGUUCCUGAAGCAACAAUUCCCGUGCAGGUCUAGCUAUGAAGACAUAUCGUUACUAUGAUCCACGAACACACGGACUAGACUUUGAAGUUCCAGUCUCGGCGACUGACAGGAAUGCUGGAAGAUCUUUGUUCUGGCCCAACAGGAGCUAUCGUGCUUCUCCAAGCAUGUGCGCAUAACCCCACCGGUAUGUUGAUCCAACUAUGCCACAGUGGGAGCAGAUAAUUUCUUUGAUAUUGCUUAGCAGGGAAGAGGAAUUCUCGGAUUUAGUUUUGCGCGGGCAAAGUGUGGGCUUUGAGAGUGAACCGAAGUUAUCUAGCAAUUCAAUGGAAUCAGAGAAGGAAUUUCCAUAUUUGAACCAGAGCCUGUACCCAAAUAUUGAGCUGUAAGCUGUCUACAACGAAUAUUGAGCCGUAUAGGAAAUCUAUUGCAAGGAGCGGAUGGAAAGAAGCACGACCCAUCCUGUGAAAACUGGAGGAAGAGAUAGGCGGAGCGGCAUUUUGUUGCUUAGGAUUCAACUACGUAUGCUCUUUCUGAGUACUUUUUAUGUUGGUUUUCUUCUUAUGUUUAUUAUUUUCUUGGUAAAUUGUUAACACGCUUUUGUAAACUGAUAGAUAUGUCGAUAUAUAAUUUAUGGAACUAUUACGGUUCCCUUAAUUGAAGAAUAAUUUGUACUAGAUAUUAGAAUUCCAGGGUAUAAUGAAAUGCCCACUGCAUGAGAAUCUUUUAUUUUUCAUAAUUAAUUUUGUUAAUGCAAUAUUUUCUUCUUAACAUUCUAUUUGGUUUUGGAGACUGCUUUUACAAAAUUAUGAGUUUUUUGUGUGUAUAAUAGUAAAAGAAGAGAGCCUUUGGAGGGUGCUCAUAUAUAGGCUGCGAUAAGAUUUAUGAAUAAGGUUGGGUAUUUCUUGCUGGUGAUUGUAUGAUUGAAGUCGGUUUCCUUUCUUCACCUUUAUGCUGGGUAGUUGAUUUUGGGAGUUUUGCUUGGAUAUCUACACAACACCAGGCCUAGAUCCAUCAUUAAUGAGUGAAUUGGACAUCAUGGCACUUAUUAUGCUCUAAAUAGUUUAAUUUUCAAUUUUUGUAUGUACAUUUUAGCUUUAAAGUUUUUGUAGUUUAAGUUUUCGUUUUCAUUAACUCUAUAAGCUUAAUUUCUUUCGUUUUAGGUGCUCAAAAACCGAUUGAGAAUGACACAACCAGAGACAAUUUGGGUACAAACUCAACUGCAAACGAAAAAAAUUGUUCAGGAGAAGUUGCUUCUUUUUUUGGAUGUUACUGACGGGUGGAAAUCAGACUAUUUGUUCGAAGUGUCUACCAAUUAGAUUUGAUUGCACAAAAAUAAUGUUGUUGCCGUACCUAUUAUUUUAUAGUGUCAUACAACAGUAUGCUUAUAGAUGUAUGCUUCUAUAAGCUAUCAAAGCAAAGAGAAAUUUUCUUUUCUUGAUCCGUGUUAAAUGUGUGUAUAUAUGCAGCAUGAUUUUAUUUUAUUUGGAAAUAUACUACCAUUGCAUACCUA